GCAUGGACGAAUUCUGUUUUACUUGAACGUAGUAAAUGCAGUCAGACACCAUGCUACAGCAAAGUUCAUGCCAACGUUUUAUUUGGAGUAAUGCUCUUAUGUGCAUUUGUCCUGUGUUGAUGCGAACACAA
Boleophthalmus pectinirostris (great blue-spotted mudskipper) is the source of this 131-nucleotide small nucleolar RNA. RefSeq annotates it as small nucleolar RNA SNORA15. NCBI's taxonomy places the organism in Eukaryota, Metazoa, Chordata, Actinopteri, Gobiiformes, Gobiidae. The record is from RefSeq and is a predicted model, not a curated record. The transcript has a single exon.